RNAcentral lists this ribosomal RNA (430 nucleotides) under bacterium. Its description in RNAcentral is "partial 16S ribosomal RNA". It matches the Rfam family "Bacterial small subunit ribosomal RNA", at positions 355 to 776 of the family's 1533-position model. The record is from RNAcentral.
UAGGGAAUCUUCCGCAAUGGACGAAAGUCUGACGGAGCGACGCCGCGUGAGCGAAGAAGGUCUUCGGAUCGUAAAGCUCUGUUGUUAGGGAAGAAGAAGUGCCGUUCGAACAGGGCGGCACGGUGACGGUACCUAACGAGAAAGCCCCGGCUAACUACGUGCCAGCAGCCGAGGUAAUACGUAGGGGGCGAGCGUUGUCCGGAAUUAUUGGGCGUAAAGCGCGCGCAGGCGGUCCCUUAAGUCUGAUGUGAAAGCCCACGGCUUAACCGUGGAGGGUCAUUGGAAACUGGGGGACUUGAGUGCAGAAGAGGAGAGCGGAAUUCCACGUGUAGCGGUGAAAUGCGUAGAGAUGUGGAGGAACACCAGUGGCGAAGGCGGCUCUCUGGUCUGUAACUGACGCUGAGGCGCGAAAGCGUGGGGAGCAAACAGG